CCUGAACCUGACCAUCCCUGCGCCCGGGCCGGACGUCAUCCGGAACGUGUGCGGCAGCAUCAGGUGCGUCGUGGUGCUCGUCUCCGGGCGGCCGCUGGUGGUGGAGCCGUUCAUGGAUAUCAUCGACGCGCUGGUGCACUACUGCACAGCCGACAUCCACCGAGCGCCACAAACGCUCGGUGGAUUAACAAAGCCGCUCGGUACACCGUCUACCGAGCGUAUCGCUCGGUGAGUUUUGCUCGGUAAAAAUUUAGUCGAUGAACUAAGUCCACCGAGAGCUGGAUACCAGCCCCUCGGUACAAUAGUCCACCGAGGGCAAAUCUGCCCCUCGGUACAAAACUAGCAGAUGACGGCGUUACCUUCUUUCCCUUCGUUAGCGUUGCCGUCGACUCCACUUACACCGAGAGCAGAGAAGUAAACCCUCGGUGCUAAUGUUCUACCGAGGGCGUAGUUGCCCCCCGGUAGAUGUUUAUAAAUGGGUCCCAGCUGUCGGGGUUUUUAAAAUCUGAAACCUAUUUAAAUAAAUUUCACCGAGAGAGAGAGAGAACCCUCGGUACAACAUUGUACCGAGGGCUUUGUUCCCCCCCGGUAGAUAUUAGCACGCUGGCCUGAAAACUAUUAAAUUAAAAGACACCGAGAGCGAGAUGGAACCCUCGGUACAUAUAUUGUACCGAGGGUUUUGGUACUCAGCCCUCGGUAGACCUAUGGUCGUUGCACCGAGAGCCUUUUGCCCCUCGGUGUAUCUGGGGAACGAGGUAAAAUGUUCCCAGGUAUACCGAGGGUGGUGCUCGGUGAAAUGACCAUUCCCCAGAUACACCGAGCGUGGCUCUCGGUAUACUGACCAUUUCUUUUUUUUUAAUUUCUGUUUCUUCAUUCUAAUACAUGAUCCAAUACACAUAUAUCACAUAUAUGAUCCAAAACAGCACAUAUAUGGUCCAAAGCAUCACAUACAUCACAGAAUUGCACUCAUAUGACACAUUUCUCACAAAUAUAUAUAAAAUCCAUUGUCCAACUAUCCAUCACAAGAUUCCAACACUCCAAAAGGUCGAACAAUCCAUCACAAAUAUAUAUCACAAGUACUAGAAGUUCCACAAGUCUAGUUGCAACAUACGGCCAUGAAAAAGUACCACACGACUAGAUCAUCAAAGGUGAGGCGGCUGCUGCUGCUGCUCCAUGCCCGGCUGCUCCAUGCCCGGCUGCUGCUGCUGCACAUCCGGUGAAAGUGGCGGCAUUGGGUUCGAUCCCGCCGAAGCCGGCUGCACAAAGGAAUAGGUUUAGGUGGCGCGUUCUAUGUGUUAAGACGGGUUACAAAUCCACAAGCAAAGCUCAAUUGAAUGCAAGAGUAUACUCACAGGGGUAGGUUGAGGUGGAGCGAAAGCCGCUAGCAGCGAUGCUGGCAGGUUGGGGGCCGAGGUUUGGAGAAAGUUCAUGAGCUCCGCUAGCUGCUUCGCCUGGGUUUCCUGUUGGGCCCGAAACGCAGCCGCAUCCGCCUGCCGUUGUCGCUCUGACUCCUCUAGUCGGGCCUACAAAAUUUGAAUCCCAUGUUUUAGUAACUCCUCCGGGAAAUGUAAUAAAGAAAAUUUCCUGAGAAAUGGAAUAACCUGGAGUUCAUCAACACGUGUCUGUGCAGGGCUCGGCCGGGUGCGGAUAGUGAGGCCACUGGUCGCGCUCUCUGAACGAAUCUUGGAGAGAGAGAGCCCGGAGCUGUCGAUGCAGCUGUCGGCGAUCCACAACCGUCCGUGCUUCUUGCCUCCUCCCACCGCCAUCACGACUUCUGGAUCAAUGGGCUGAGUGAACGGAUCGAAGUCUGGCCCAUGGACCUUCUGUGCCGCCGCCGUGUAGUCGUGGACCUUCUUGUACACGUUCGGGUUGCUGUAGGCCGUGGGCGGGUCGUUGAGGCUGUAGGUGACGUUGGAGGAGUACUUGCCCUUGUGGGCCAUGCAGAAUGCCCCAAAGUCAUUGCACUCCUGCCCUGGGUGUGCCGCCAUCUGCAAGGAAAAAGAGAUGAUUAGUUUGUGGCACAAUAUAGCAUGACAAUGUAUAAAAGGCUGCGCGUACCCAUCUUUCUUUGUAGACGGUGAGGUUGCGGCUGCCUUGAUGGUGUGCUGGACCUCCCAUCGCCAGACGUCGUUGCCGUAGAAGCCUGUGCUUUUCCUUAUACUCCUCUGUGAACCACCUGUCCACGAUCAUCUCCCAGCACGGUUUAUCGUUCAUGCACCACGUGGCGGGCACCUACAUGGCAUAUAACAAGGUUACUGUCUACCUCAAGGUUACAUGAAACAUAAUGAAAAGCUCAGAAGUAACAAACUUUUGUCACUGUCUACCUCAAGGUACUGUUCUCGGGUCAGCUCCAUCUCUCUAGCGUCUUGUAUGGAGACCUUUUGCCCCAACUUGGACCCGUAGUAGUUGAUCACGCACUGGUGUUUCGCCUCGUGAUGCAUGUCGACGAUUCGCUUUCUGGCGGACUUCUUCAACACUUCUUCCGCCCGCUCCUCAAAUCCCGCCAUUGGUCUGAAGAAAGUCUGCAUACAAAUGUGAUGCAUCCUUAGUCACAUGCUCGGAAUAGGCACAAGUUUGAGCGACGACGGCUUACCCAAAAGUCGUGAAACACGUGCUCCAACGCGUUGCCGUACUCGUUGUCUUCGCCUUGUAAGUAGUGGGCAGCAGUGUAGGCCGGCUCCCUCUUGCCUUUGUAAGUGACAAUGCCAGGGAAAUACUUCCUGACAAGAAGACCUAGGACGCCGUUGGGGGAGCGUGUCUGACCACCCGACAUAACUAUCCAGUUCCUGCACAAGCAAGAUAAAAUAUUAGUAUGGACAAAAUCUUUCAAAUUUAAAAUUGGUGAUAACAUCGGGACAAAAUAUGAAGAGUUACUUACGUUUGCCCAUCGGGGCAAAGCACUCCCUUGUGCUGCUGGUGGGGAACCGGCGGGAGGCUCGCGGGACCUCGCAAGUACACAGUGGAAGUGGCGGACCCAGCCCCGUCCCCGUCCAGGUCCUCGUCCCCGUCCCCGUCCACGCCCACCAGCCUCUCGUCGUCCUCGCCCUGGUCCCCAUCCUCGGCCUCGUCGGUCCUCGGCGGCACCUCCUCGUCCACCAACUCCCUGUGUGGGACCUCCUCCUCCAACUCACGCUCAGAGUCCGUAGUCGACGCCCACGGCCGCCGCCCCUUGCCCUUGCCCUUGGGCACGCGGGGCCUCCUAGCAGUCCUCCUGCUGCUCCCCGUGCCGGUCCUGUCCUCCUCGCCACCCCUGUAAAGGGAGGACACCUCCCUCUGACGCGUGGCACGGCUGCUCACCAUCUUCUUUUGAUCACCUGCAAUUAAACAAAAUCGCAACUCAUCAGUGAAAUCAUUAGUAAAAUCAUUACAGAAUGUAAAAAAUUAAAACUAUAAACAUUGUGCAAAUAUACGAAGAACAUAGUAUUACAUGGUAUUAUUUGGAUCAUAACUCUCGCCGUCACUAUCAACAUUGUCCAAAUAAUCAAAACUAUCCGUAGGAGGAUUGUUGUCUUCAUCAUCGUUCCCUAAGAGUAAUCGCUCAAGCAUUUGUAAGUCUCCCUCAUUUGUGACCUCAUCUCCAGCUUCGUCCUCGUCCGUAGGUAUUUCGUUGUCUACAUCCAUUUCAAGCGCGUCAGGUAACUCUAUCACAAAUCUCCCUGGUAGCCCUUCUUCUUGAAAGAACUCUCCAUCAUAUGUGUUUGGGUCGAUCAAGUUGUAAUCCUCAUCGAUUGGCACAGGUAGUUUACCGUGUGGCGCUACCUUAUGCACAAUAUCCCAACCCUGAAGACACGUUUUGGUUUGGCAAGCAUAUGGCAAGUAAUAAACUUGCACGGCCUGUUGAGCCACAAUGUAGACAUCUGUUCCUGAAUACACGGAAUCCCGUCGAACUUCGACUAAUCCAAUGUUUGGGGUCCGUCGAACCCCUUCACGACCCGGGUCAAACCAAUGACAUUUGAAUAUGACAGGUUUAAGUUCCUUAGGGCCGUAGAACGAAAGUUCAUAUAUUUCUUCAAGUCUGCCGUAAUAGUCCUGGGCAUCAUUGCCGGGCACAAACACUCCACUGUUUGUGGUUUUCCGAUUGGGCCGGCUCCGUUCGUAGCUUGUCGUGUGAAAACGAUAACCGUUCACAUCAUAACCCUUAAAGGACCUAACCCUUUUUUCACAACCGAUUGCAACUUGUCUCAACUCGGCACACAUAGAGGGAUCGGUUUGGCCCUGUAAGGUCAACCAGGAUAGAUCGUCAUAUUAUGAAAAACGUACGAUGAACUACAAAUAUCAAGAUGAGUUGGAAUGGACACUACCUUUCUUUUGAACCACGUAAUAAAAUCAGGGCUUCCUGCCGCACCCUGUGAAAAAAGGGUAUCUUCUUCUUGCGGGGUAGGAUCCCUCGAUUCAUGCCAGGAUUGUCGAAUGAAUUCCCUGUACCAAUGAGAGGAGAGGGUUGGUACAAAUGAAAAGUGACGGCUUAUUGAAACUAGUUAUUUGAGGGCUUACUUUCUGUACGAUUCGGUCUCGUCAAGGUUGGUCAAAAUGUAUAGCAUGAUCUUCCGCCACUCUUCUAUGUUCAGUUGCUUAGUGUUCCAACCACUUGCGGUACCGAGUUGGCCUCGGAAAAGGCUGAGGGUCGAUUCAUUUUCGCCGGCAUUGUAUCGAGGUAGUGGAUUGUGCACGCUGGGUAGCUUCUCGGUAUAGUAUUUCUGUGUGAAGUUUGACACCUCCUCCACAACAUAUGCCUGUGCAAUAGAAGCCUCAGGUCUUGCUUUAUUUCUACAUUUUUUGCGUACGGUCUUCAGAACUCUCUCGACUGGAUACAUCCAACGGUACUGCUGUGGCCCCCCCAUACGAGCCUCAUACGGGAGGUGGACAAUCAAAUGCUGCAUCGGCACAAAGAAACCAGGUGGAAAGACCUUCUCCAACUUACAGAGGAGCACUGGUGCCGUUUUUUCCAAACCUUUGAUGACAUCGACAGAUAGCUCCUUGGCAGAAAGCUGACGAAAGAAAUAGCUCAACUCUGCCAGCAAUAGCCAUAAAUGCUCAGGGACAUAGCCUCGGACCAUCGCCGGAAGAAGCCGCUGAAUCCAAACAUGGAAGUCAUGACUCUUCAUCCCGUUGACUCUAAGAGUAGUUAGGUUCACUCCCCUCCUCAGAUUCGCUGCAUACCCAUCUGGGAACAUUAGUUCCUUCAUCCAUUGAAGCACUUCCCUCCUUUGUGGGAUAGUCAACAUGUAAUCGGCCUUAGGCCUAGUCCAUCUCUUUCCGCCUACGGGAGGCCUCAUUUCUUGGCUUGGCCUAUCGCAUAACGUUGCCAUGUCCACUCUAGCCUUAGGGUUGUCCUUAGACUUGUCAGUGUCCAUGAUUGUUCCAAAUAGGCCCUCGGCGAUAUUCUUUUCGGUGUGCAUGUAGUCAAUGUAAUGAGGUACAAGAAGGUCAUCUACAUAUGGUAGCCUCGUCAGGCCCGACUUAUGAGUCCACAUAUGCUCCACACCAUAUCCCUGAAAACCACCUCCAGGAUUGGCCACAAGAGCUUCUAUCUGAGCAUGAACCUCAGCAGGUGUCGACAUGUGCGGGGGAGGAUCUAGUACUUUGACACCUUUUGUAAAGUUCUUGAUGUCUUGUCGAAAUGCGUGGUUAAGGGGGAGGAAUUGACGAUGUAAGUCGAACGACGAAUACUUGCCCCCCUUCAGCAACCAGUUGAACCUUGCAUCUGUCUUGCAUAUUGGGCAUGGGAACCUCCCGUGUACACACCAACCGCUAAAUAAACCGUAUGCCACGAAGUCAUGGAUGGAGUACUGGUACCACACAUACAUUUUGAAGCUUUUCUUUGUAGCCCGGUCGUAUGUCCAUACGCCAUCAUUCCAAGCAGUUAUCAAUUCAUCCCAAAUAAGAUCCAUGUACACGCCCAUAUUUUUCCCCGGAUGACCCGGAAUGAUCAACGAACAGAAUACAUUUUGUCGUUGAAAGGCGAUACCAGGAGGGAGAUUAAGGGGGAUGACAAACACGGGCCAACAUGUGUGUGGGGCAGAUGACAUCCCGUAAGGAUUGAACCCAUCGGUUGCUAUCGCAACACGUACGUUACGAGACUCUCCGGCUUUGUCAGGAUGUUUCUCAUCGAAGUAGCGCCAAGCUUCACCAUCGGAUGGAUGUACCAUCUUGUCAGGAUGGUAUCUUUUACCCUGUUUGUGCCAUGUCAUCUGCUUCGCUGUAUCCUCGGUCAUGAAUAGUCGUUGGAUCCUCGGUAUGAACGGAAGGUACCGUAGGAUUUUCUCGGCGAUGUUAAGCUGCUUCUUCUGACCAUUACCGCAGUCUACCUCCAUAAACCUAGAGGUUUUACACUUUGGACAGUGAGUUGCAUCCGCGUGUUCAUUCCUAAAAAGGACACACCCCUUCGGGCAAGCAUGUAUUUGCUCGUAAGGCAUCUUAAGGGACUUGAGCACUUUCUCGGCCGCGUGUUGGUUAGCUGGCAGAUUGUUUGGCUUCGGAAGCAAGCUGGCAAUCACAGUCAACGUCUUAUCGAAACCUUCUCGACUCAUGUUUAGGUCGGACUUCAACCCCAUCAAGCGUCCAACAGUAUCCAGCUGAGAAACCUCAGAGUGCUCGUGGAGGGGCUUAGUUGCCGACUCCAUCAUCUUGUAGAACUCCCGUGCAUCUUCCAUCAUCCCGUCCCUUUCAUGAGAGUCGAAACAUGCUUCGUAGACAUCGUCUACCAUGUCUGCUACCCCAGCAUCAGCAUCAAAAGAUUCGAGACGUGGUCUCACCACCUCCUCUCUGAUACGGCCACUUUCACCAUGGUAUCUCCACACGGUAUAUCCCUUUGUAAAUCCAUUAAGCAGAAGAUGUCUACCCAUAUUGACCUUGUUUUGCCUUCUCCUAUUUUCACAUUUGAAGCAGGGACACAGCUGUAGAACAAAUGCUGGAGAGUUGCCAAAUGCACGCUCCAAGAAUUCAUUGGUCUUCUGCUGCCACUCAUCAUCAAAAUCCCAUCUGCUUCUACGACCGUCGUACAUCCACUUACGGUCAUCCAUCCUUUAGCAUAGGUAGUCACACAAUGACAUAUCCACUAAAGAUAGACUAUGACCAUAAAGGUCGUACUCCUACUGUCUAAUAGGUGAGGAUAGGUCCUAAUCCCACCCGCGGAUGCGUAGAUGAGAUUAAUUUCCAUUUCCGCUCCUAUACUAGACAGAAUUUCGGCAGCACCUCCCCGCUGUUCUCCUGAUACACGUCCCGCUAGGGAGAGUGUGUAUCCAGAGAACAACAGGGGGUGAUGCUGAAAUUCUGUCUUGUAUAGGAGCGGAACAUGGAAACUAAUCUCAUCUACGCAUCCGCGGGCUGUCCAAAAAACGUGGACAAUCCGAAACAGAUACAGUGAAGCUGUAUCUGUUUCGGACGGGAGACCCUAACUAGGUUGCGCAAUUUAUGACCAUGAGAGAGAGGGGUUAUUCAUACCUCAGGGCUCCAGUGGCGAGGCAAAGCAGUGCAGGCAAACCCGCUACUCUGGCUCGACUCCGACGGGACUCUCUGCACCAAAAACAAAUCAAGGGGCUUAGUCCAUAAUUUCGGCAGCACCUCCCCUAUACGGUGAGGCAUCCAAACCUGCAAUAAAGUGUACGGCACGAAGGCCGACAACUACAUACGCAUUCUCAUUGAAUUUCACCGAUUCACAUCCAUAUACUACAUUUCAUUACAUUUCACCAAAGCACGAAGCCUCACCUUGCUCGAGCGGGGGCGUGUAGCUGCCGGCGGUGGCGGUGGUCGCGGCGAGGUCGCGGCCGGCGGUGGCGUUGCUCGCAGCGGGGAGGGCAAGGCCCCUCUUCUUCCUCCUCCCUUCUUGCUCCUCCUCCUUCCUCUUCCCUCCCUUCUUCCUCCUCUUUCCUCCCUUCUUCCUCCUCCUCCCUUCUUGCUCCUCCUCCUUCCUCUUCCCCUCGUUCCCCUUGCUGACAACGGCGAGGCAGGGGGCGGGGCCGCGGAUUAGGGGACGGCCUGGACGGCGGGGCAGAGGCGGGCGACGACGGCGACGAUGAGGACGGUGUGGACGGCGACGGGGCCGCGGCCGGGGGUGGGGGCAGGGGCGGCCGGCGAGGAGGUUGCGGGGGGCGCGCGUGGGGGCAGAGGACGGGGGCAGAGGCCGCGAGGACGGCGAGGACCGCGAGGACGGCGAGGACGGCGAAGCGCGGGCGGGGACGGCGAGGACGGCGUGGACGGCGGCGGCGGGGGCGCGGGCGGGGACGGCGACGAGGACGGCGCGGGAGGUGGCGCGGCUGGGGACAGAGGCGGGCAAAGGCUUGGAUCGACGGCGAGGGGGGUGGCGCGGCCGCACCGGCGACGAGGACGGGCGAGCGCGGCGGCGGAAUCGCGGGCGGGUGAGCGCGGCGGCGGCGGGGGCGGCUGAGUGUGGGGACGAGUGUGUGUGAGAGAGAGAAGGAGUGGGGGGGAAUUGGAUAAGGCCAGUUAGGGCCUUUACCGAGUGCUGGAUAGUAAGGCACUCGGUACAUUUUUAUUUUUAUUUCAAAAUUUUAAACCGCCCACGUGAUUUACACGAAAUUAAAAGUAUGAAUUCAAAUUAUACCGAGCGCACAGCCAACCCUCGGUACAAAAUGGCCAUGUCACCGAGGGUUACCCAUUGCCGCGCUCGGUACAAACAUUUUACCGAGGGGCCAAGGUGCACCCUCGGUAAAUUUUGGUUAUUUUUUUUUGAAUUUGGCUUCCAAAUUUUUUGUGUGUGCUUCUUACCAUGCCUACUUGUUAAUGUCAGGAUUUGAGAUUUUUUCGUAACCAUUUACUAUUUAUUUUCAAUUUACAUCUAUUAAUUGAAUUUUCAUUUGGGUGUCAAAUUUGAACUGUACGCCAUUCAAAUAGAGGCAAGACAUGAUCCGAAAAAUGAUGGACAUACUUGUGAGUGCAAUGUGAGCCCCAACCAGGGGACAGAGCCAAAAAAAUCGAACACCUUGUUCACGGAACAUGCCAAAUCUGUUGCGGAUGAAUAGUGUUUAAAUUAUAUAAAAUUCAAACGAAGUCGAAAAAUCAAAAAACUUGUCCAGUGGUCAUGGUAUCUUAUGUGUAGACUGUGAAAAAAAUUUGAGAAGGUUUCGCUGAAGUUGGCGCCUAGAGUGAUGAAAUCCUGUACAACUCCACUAGAGUUAUAUUAUCAUAUGUUGUAUACAGCCUGGGUUUCAUCACUCUAGGCGCCAACGUCAGCGAAACCUUCUCAAAUUUUUUUCACAGUCUACACAUAAGAUACCAUGACCACUGGACAAGUUUUUUGAUUUUUCGACUUCGUUUGAAUUUUAUAUAAUUUAAAGACUAUUCAUCCGCAACAGAUUUGGCAUGUUCCGUGAACAAGGUGUUCGAUUUUUUUGGCUCUGUCCCCUGGUUGGGGCUCACAUUGCACUCACAAGUAUGUCCAUCAUUUUUCGGAUCAUGUCUUGCCUCUAUUUGAAUGGCGUACAGUUCAAAUUUGACACCCAAAUGAAAAUUCAAUUAAUAGAUGUAAAUUGAAAAUAAAUAGUAAAUGGUUACGAAAAAAUCUCAAAUCCUGACAUUAACGAGUAGGCAUGGUAAGAAGCACACACAAAAAAUAUGGAAGCCAAAUUCAAAAAAAAAUAACCAAAUUUUACCGAGGGUGCAUCUUGGCCCCUCGGUAAAAAUUUUGUACCGAGCGCCGCUGUAUGCAACCCUCGGUAACUAGCCAUUUUGUACCGAGGGUUAGCCAGGCUCUCGGUACAAUUUGAAAUCAUACUUUGGAUUGAAAUGUUUUUGAAUUUUUAAUUUCGUAAAUCACGUCUGCAAAAUUUUGGAUUCAAGUGUUUUUGAAUUUUGAAAGACCAAACUCUACCGAGGGCUCCGCAUACCCCUCGGUGUAAAUAUUUCACCGGAGGCAACCCAUUAGCGCUCGGUGGAAUGACCAUAUUCUACCGAGCGACAGACGGUGCUCUCGGUGGAGUUGACGACGUUGUGGGAGUUUACUCGACUGAGAGAGUGGUGCGUCAAUUUUACCGAGAUGUUUUUUCUACCGAGGAGCUUUGCUCGCUAAAACACAGUUUUAGCGAGGGUUUUAUCUUACCGAGGGUUAGACGCUCGGUAGAAGGGAAUGGUACCGAGCGUAUGUGUUCACCGAACGCUACUCGUGAAGUGCACCGAGGGUCUUAUUUCACCGAGCUUAACCGUCGGUACAAGAGUGAUGUACCGAGGGCCCGUUUUCCUGCUCUCGGUACAUCUUUAUGCUCUCGGUGGAGAUGCACUGUGCCGUAGUGGUGGCGGCGUGGCUGCCGGGGACGGAGGGGCAGGGCGUCAGCGACGUGCUGUUCGGCGACUACGGGUUCACGGGGAAGCUAUCGAGGACGUGGUUCCGCUCGGUGGAUCAGCUGCCCAUGAACGUCGGCGACGCGCACUACGAUCCAUUGUUCCCGUUUGGCUUCGGCCUCCAGACACAGCCGUCCACAUAUUAGAGGGUAAUUGCAUGGCCUAAAUUUGAGCUAAAUUCUUAGAUUUCCCUGUGAAAUUAAUAUGCUAAGAGAGACUCUGAAAGCUUACUUAGCUUGAUCUAUGUGAGUAGUACUGUAGUAGACAAUUAAUAAUAAGAUCCGGAAUGUCCGAUGGUCUCUCUUCGGUGACAUGAUUGUGUUCUUGUGAUCGAUUCAUGCUCAUUUGAAACUAAUAGUGAUUGCCUGCCCCUUAUCCUUUGUUUAGAGGGAAGUGAUUCGCUAAGGAUAUAGGCUUAUUUAAACCAUGCUUAUAGCUACCACUUUAAUUUUAGAGAUUU
RNAcentral lists this long non-coding RNA (10756 nucleotides) under Sorghum bicolor (sorghum). RNAcentral describes it as "long non-coding RNA (SBIC_LNC005930)". Lineage: Eukaryota; Viridiplantae; Streptophyta; Magnoliopsida; Poales; Poaceae. The record is from RNAcentral.